GGGAAGAAGACGGGAAACUGGGGAGAUAGACUAGAGAAGGAUGAGUAAGAGUAACUGGUAUGGGUCCGAGGAAGAAACAUGUUCUAUUGGGGUUGUAUUUGCCCUGACAGAGAACCCAUGCAGAAUGUGAAAUGUCUGCUUCCUUUCUCCCCCUCUCCUUCUGUCUCUGCAAGCAGAUAUUAAACCCAAAGUUUUCCUGUUCUUUAAAGACAUAGAGAUAUGGAUAUAGUUUUUGUUUAAUUAGACUGCUUUCUGGCUAAUUAAACUCUGAUCGUGACCGUUUCUAAACUUUGGGCAUCUCUGUUGUGAGAGCCCAGAGAAAAAGGAAGCGAUGAUGGCCACAUACAUAGCUGGAAGUCAAACAGACAGAAGUUUGGGUCCUCGUCUAAAUACUCUACAUCCGAUCUUUUUUAAAGUAUUUUUGUAAGGCGGCUUGUCUGGGUGUUCCCAGAUUGCCCAUCAGGUAAGCCCUGUAGCUGCCUUUAACUAGCUGCUUAGCCUAAAUGGAGACUGUAUCUUUAAAACUGGCCAGAAUGAGGCAGAGAACCGCAGAGCAGGAACCGGUGAGAGGGGGAGGACUUCUUUACCCUCGUUCUGAGAACUGAACCUGGAUCCAUAGGUUUCUGGUCUCUGUUGUUUUCCUUUCUCAGUUUCAGGUGCCAGUGGUGAUCUUCAUUGGACCGACCGGAGCUGAGAGUUCAAGCCACGGCAAGUUUGGAGCUAGAAUUCCAGGAAGGACCUUGCAGCCAGCCUGUCAACCUGCCAGUCAGGGAAACCUGAAGAAACCACAGUGCCCAGAACUCAAGCCUAGGGGAGGUUUCAGAGUUGGAAUUGCGACUGUCCUCUAUAGAAACGGAGCUAAGAAUUGGAGUACAAGAAACCCUUUGAAGGAAUCUUUGAAGAGGGAGGGCUGGAGCCAUUUGUAG
Molecule: long non-coding RNA, 926 nt
Filed under: Monodelphis domestica (gray short-tailed opossum)
Lineage: Eukaryota; Metazoa; Chordata; Mammalia; Didelphimorphia; Didelphidae
Description: lncRNA (ENSMODG00000037631.1)
Source: RNAcentral